This 455-nucleotide ribosomal RNA is filed under the name uncultured bacterium. RNAcentral describes it as "bacterial SSU rRNA". It matches the Rfam family "Bacterial small subunit ribosomal RNA", at positions 335 to 799 of the family's 1533-position model. The record is from RNAcentral.
ACUCCUACGGGAGGCAGCAGUGGGGAAUAUUGCACAAUGGGCGCAAGCCUGAUGCAGCAACGCCGCGUGAGCGAUGAAGGCCUUCGGGUCGUAAGCUCUGUCCUCAAGGAAGAAUAAAUGACGGUACUUGAGGAGGGAAGCCCCGGGCUAACUACGUGCCAGCAGCCGCGGUAAUACGUAGGGGGGCAAGCGUUUAUCCGGAAUCACUGGGCGUAAGGGUGCGUAGGCGGUUUUUUCAAGUCAGAAGUGAGAGGCUAUGGCUCAACCAUAGUAAGCUUUUUGAAACUGUUAAACUUGAGUGCAGGAGAGGAAAGUGGAAUUCCUAGUGUAGAGGUGAAAUUCGUAGAUAUUAGGAGGAACACCAGUGGCGAAGGCGACUUUCUGGACUGUAACUGACGCUGAGGCACGAAAGCGUGGGGAGGCGAACAGGAUUAGAUACCCUCGGUAACACAGAG